Non-coding RNA from Coturnix japonica (Japanese quail), 927 nucleotides. Lineage: Eukaryota; Metazoa; Chordata; Aves; Galliformes; Phasianidae. The record is from RefSeq and is a predicted model, not a curated record.
UGCAGUGAAACAACGUGACAUGAUGACAUUUGCAGGAUCCUAUAAGCCUAGGAAAAAGAUUAGGAUUUCCUUCAGUCGUAAUUAAGAUACAGAACAAAAACACCAUUAGGGUAAGAAGAGGUUAAAAUAAGGAGUAAAAACCCACACUGCUGUACCUCGGAAGCCUUCCACUCUGGCCUUUCAGAUCUUUGCAAUAAUUUUUCCGAGUGCUUCCCAGUGCAGGCCAGAGAGAAUUUUUUAUGAACUCCUGAAAAUAGAUUUAAAAUUCACAAAGUCUCCUAACAACCGGUCUGCUUCCUGCCACUCUCCGGUACGGUCGUUUUUCAGCUGAGAACUCAGCAAAGCUCAACAGACUGACAUAUGGCCGUGACUGGGCUGCUAAACACCCUCUGAUGUUGAGGAGAUGAUAUUCUACAGCCUUUGGCUUCUAUGAUUUUUAGCGGAUUCAGAUCUAAGCCUCUUUUGCCCUUUCAAAUCCACCGGAAAAACGUUACCGAGAUGUAUUAGUACCAUCUACCGUUGAAAGCAUCUGUGAAUUGCCACAUCAUAAUCCUAAUCGAGUCUUAUGCUCCAAUGAUAACGCCCUUAGUCCUGCAGCUGAGUUCCAGACACUGAAGGGAAGGUCACCUGGGCACCUGUGUUUAUUCUGAGUGCCUCAAGCUUAUUGCUCUUGGCAGCUUGGAGUCCAGGAUUUAACUCAGCAAGAGAAGGUAACAUGUGGAGUUAUCAUGUGGAGUUCUCCAUCAAAGAGACUAACGGCAUCAUAGGACACGACAGUCUCCAGACCAAUUGUGAAUUUACAUCUUCUAAUGUUCCUCUAAGUGGAAGGAAUUAAUGUGGCAUGUUUCAAUUUGCCUAAUGAGACUGAGCAGGGCAGCAAGCCUCCAGCCAUCACUAGUUCUAAGCAUCCAACCAAAAAAAGGAAAA